Molecule: ribosomal RNA, 292 nt
Filed under: uncultured bacterium
Lineage: Bacteria
Description: partial 16S ribosomal RNA
Rfam family: Bacterial small subunit ribosomal RNA
Source: RNAcentral
GUGCCAGCAGCCGCGGUAAUACGAAGGGUGCAAACGUUAUUCGGAAUCACUGGGCGUAAAGGGUGCGUAGACGGCUUAUUAAGUUCGUUGUUAAAGGCUCCGGCCCAACCGGAGUAUUGCGAUGAAAACUGGUAAACUAGAGGGUGAGAGAGAGAAGUGGAAUUCCCGGAGUAGCGGUAAAAUGCGUGGAUCUCGGGAGGAACACCAAUGGCGAAGGCAGCUUCUUGGUUCAUACCUGACGUUGAGGCACGAAAGCGUGGGGAGCAAACAGGAUUAGAUACCCUAGUAGUCC